AGGGCAGGCGGUGGAUGCCUUGGCGUCAAGAGGCGAAGAAAGACGUGGUAAGCUGCGAUAAGCUUCGGGGAGGAGCUAAACAUCCGUUGAACCGGAGAUUUCUGAAUGGGGUAACCCAAUGCGGUUAAUGCUGCAUUAUCCUUACCUGAAUCUAUAGGGUAAGGAGGCGAACGAGGGGAACUGAAACAUCUUAGUACCCUUAGGAGAAGAAAAUAAUAAUGAUUCCCUGAGUAGCGGCGAGCGAACGGGGAAGAGCCCAAACCGAAUGCUUUCGGGUGUUCGGGGUUGUAGGACCGUCAUUAAGUGAUCCGUGAAUAGAUAGAAGAGCCGGCUGGGAAGCCGGGCCAAAGAGGGUGAGAGCCCCGUAUUCGAAAUUGAAAGCGGCACAGACGGCACCUGAGUACCACGGGACACGAGGAACCCUGUGGGAAGCUGGGAGGACCAUCUUCCAAGGCUAAAUACUCCUUGACGACCGAUAGCGAACCAGUACCGUGAGGGAAAGGUGAAAAGAACCCCAGUGAGGGGAGUGAAAUAGUACCUGAAACCGUCUGCCUACAAGCAGUGGGAGCACGAUGAUCUUAAGGGGUCCGUGUGACCGCGUGCCUUUUGCAUAAUGAGUCAGCGAGUUACUUUAUGCAGCGAGGUUAAGCCGAGAGGUGAAGCCGUAGCGAAAGCGAGUCUUAAUAGGGCGAGAAGUUGCGUGGAGUAGACCCGAAACCAGGUGAUCUAUCCAUGUCCAGGGUGAAGCGAGAGUAAAAUUUCGUGGAGGCCCGAACCGUCACACGUUGAAAAGUGUUCGGAUGAGGUGUGGAUAGGGGUGAAAGGCCAAACAAACCUGGAGAUAGCUGGUUCUCCCCGAAAUAUAUUUAGGUAUAGCCUUGCGGAAUUGACUGACGGGGGUAGAGCACUGGAUGGGCUAGGGGUCUCACCAGAUUACCAAACCUAACCAAACUCCGAAUACCGUUAAGUUGUAUCGCAGGAGUGAGAUGCCCAGACAACCAGGAGGUUGGCUUAGAAGCAGCCAUCCUUUAAAGAAAGCGUAAUAGCUCACUGGUCGAGUGAGUCUGCGCGGAAAAUGUAUCGGGGCUAAGCAUAAUACCGAAGCUGCGGAGCCGGAUUUAGAUUCGGUUGGUAGGGGAGCAUUGCAUGCGGGAAGAAGGUCGACCGAGAGGACGGCUGAACUGCAUGGAAGAGAUCAUGCUGACAUGAGUAGCGAUAAAGCGGGUGAAAAACCCGCUCGCCGAAAGCCUAAGGAUUCCUGAGUAAAGCUAAUCUUCUCAGGGUUAGUCGAUCCCUAAGCCGAGGCCGAAAGGCGUAGGUGAUGGAAAACAGGUUAAUAUUCCUGUACCACCGUAUAAUCGUUUGAGAGAAGGGGGGACACAGAAGGGUAGGUCAUCCGGGUGAUGGAAGUCCCGGUUCAAGCAGGUAGGCUUGAAGAGCAGGCAAAUCCGCUUUUCAGUAAAGGCCGAGAUGUGAUGACGAGAGACGAAAGUUUCAUAAAGUGAUUGAUCCCAUACUGUCAAGAAAAGCCUCUAUCGAGAUAAUAGGGUGAUCGUACCGCAAACCGACACAGGUAGGCAGGGAGAGAAUCCCAAGGCGCUUGAGAGAACCCUGGUUAAGGAACUCGGCAAAAUGAUACCGUAACUUCGGGAAAAGGUAUGCCCCUUGUAGGUGAAGCACGAAGCGUGUGGAGUUGAAGGGGGUCGCAGAGAAAUGGCGGUAGCGACUGUUUAACUAUAACGGUCCUAAGGUAGCGAAAUUCCUUGUCGGGUAAGUUCCGACCUGCACGAAUGGCGUAACGACUUCCGCACUGUCUCAACCAGGGACUCAGCGAAAUUGAAAUGGCGGUGAAGAUGCCGUCUACCCGCGGAAAGACGGAAAGACCCCGGCACCUUUACUACAGCUUGACAUUGGGUUUUGAGCUAGUAUGUGUAGGAUAGGUGGGAGACUAAGAAGCAGGCACGCCAGUGUUUGUGGAGUCAGCCUUGAAAUACCACCCUUGUUAGUUUAGGAUUCUAACGCCAGUCCAUGAGCUGGAUGGCGGACAGUGUCUGGUGGGUAGUUUGACUGGGGCGGUCGCCUCCCAAAGCGUAACGGAGGCGCGCGAAGGUUCCCUCAAACUGAUUGGAAACCAGUUAGAGAGUGUAAAGGCAUAAGGGAGCUUGACUGCGAGGGAGACAUUCCGAGCAGGUACGAAAGUAGGUCUUAGUGAUCCGGCGGUUCUGAAUGGAAGGGCCGUCGCU
RNAcentral lists this ribosomal RNA (2243 nucleotides) under oral metagenome. RNAcentral describes it as "bacterial LSU rRNA". It matches the Rfam family "Bacterial large subunit ribosomal RNA", at positions 14 to 2449 of the family's 2925-position model. The record is from RNAcentral.